RNAcentral lists this ribosomal RNA (915 nucleotides) under Saccharomyces cf. cerevisiae/paradoxus. RNAcentral's name for it is "LSU rRNA". It matches the Rfam family "Eukaryotic large subunit ribosomal RNA", at positions 35 to 964 of the family's 3401-position model. The record is from RNAcentral. Lineage: Eukaryota; Fungi; Ascomycota; Saccharomycetes; Saccharomycetales; Saccharomycetaceae.
UAAGCAUAUCAAUAAGCGGAGGAAAAGAAACCAACCGGGAUUGCCUUAGUAACGGCGAGUGAAGCGGCAAAAGCUCAAAUUUGAAAUCUGGUACCUUCGGUGCCCGAGUUGUAAUUUGGAGAGGGCAACUUUGGGGCCGUUCCUUGUCUAUGUUCCUUGGAACAGGACGUCAUAGAGGGUGAGAAUCCCGUGUGGCGAGGAGUGCGGUUCUUUGUAAAGUGCCCUCGAAGAGUCGAGUUGUUUGGGAAUGCAGCUCUAAGUGGGUGGUAAAUUCCAUCUAAAGCUAAAUAUUGGCGAGAGACCGAUAGCGAACAAGUACAGUGAUGGAAAGAUGAAAAGAACUUUGAAAAGAGAGUGAAAAAGUACGUGAAAUUGUUGAAAGGGAAGGGCAUUUGAUCAGACAUGGUGUUUUGUGCCCUCUGCUCCUUGUGGGUAGGGGAAUCUCGCAUUUCACUGGGCCAGCAUCAGUUUUGGUGGCAGGAUAAAUCCAUAGGAAUGUAGCUUGCCUCGGUAAGUAUUAUAGCCUGUUGGGAAUACUGCCAGCUGGGACUGAGGACUGCGACGUAAGUCAAGGAUGCUGGCAUAAUGGUUAUAUGCCGCCCGUCUUGAAACACGGACCAAGGAGUCUAACGUCUAUGCGAGUGUUUGGGUGUAAAACCCAUACGCGUAAUGAAAGUGAACGUAGGUUGGGGCCUCGCAAGAGGUGCACAAUCGACCGAUCCUGAUGUCUUCGGAUGGAUUUGAGUAAGAGCAUAGCUGUUGGGACCCGAAAGAUGGUGAACUAUGCCUGAAUAGGGUGAAGCCAGAGGAAACUCUGGUGGAGGCUCGUAGCGGUUCUGACGUGCAAAUCGAUCGUCGAAUUUGGGUAUAGGGGCGAAAGACUAAUCGAACCAUCUAGUAGCUGGUUCCUGCCGA